This 206-nucleotide ribosomal RNA is filed under the name uncultured bacterium. RNAcentral's name for it is "partial 16S ribosomal RNA". It matches the Rfam family "Bacterial small subunit ribosomal RNA", at positions 568 to 774 of the family's 1533-position model. The record is from RNAcentral.
UGCGCAGGCGGUCUUGCAAGUCAGAUGUGAAAGCCCCGGGCUUAACCUGGGAAUUGCGUUUGAAACUACAAGGCUAGAGUGCAGCAGAGGGGAGUGGAAUUCCAUGUGUAGCAGUGAAAUGCGUAGAGAUGUGGAAGAACACCGAUGGCGAAGGCAGCUCCCUGGGUUGACACUGACGCUCAUGCACGAAAGGCUGGGAGCAAACA